ACUCAGAGACUUUGACAGUAAAAUAAUAAAUGUUGGAUUAGCACUCACCCUGCCUCAGCCUUCAGUUUCCUCCUCCUGCUCUGUUCUCUUCACACUUCCGUUAAUUGUUGUGUGGUUUGUGUUGUAUAUUCUUCAUCUUCAGUUUCUUCAAACAGUCCAAAAUGUCGACGUAGAACAACUCAGGUGAGUUGUUUUUUCUGAUGAGUCACAGCUCCACCUGUCAGGAAGCAGACUUUCACAAUAAGAACUUUGUUUCUUCUCUCUGUGUAACUGUGGUUGUUGUCAGUGUUUCCACACGUCUAUGGCGGUUAGCU
This is a long non-coding RNA of Sander lucioperca (pikeperch), 314 nucleotides long. RefSeq lists it as uncharacterized. NCBI's taxonomy places the organism in Eukaryota, Metazoa, Chordata, Actinopteri, Perciformes, Percidae. The transcript has 3 exons. The record is from RefSeq and is a predicted model, not a curated record.